RNAcentral lists this ribosomal RNA (253 nucleotides) under uncultured bacterium. RNAcentral describes it as "partial 16S ribosomal RNA". It matches the Rfam family "Bacterial small subunit ribosomal RNA", at positions 524 to 776 of the family's 1533-position model. The record is from RNAcentral.
UACAGAGGGUGCGAGCGUUAAUCGGAAUUACUGGGCGUAAAGCGUGCGUAGACGGUUACGUAAGUCGGGUGUGAAAGCCCCGGGCUCAACCUGGGAAUUGCAUUCGAGACUGCGUAGCUAGGGUGCGGAAGAGGGAAGCGGAAUUUCCGGUGUAGCGGUGAAAUGCGUAGAUAUCGGAAGGAACAUCAGUGGCGAAAGCGGCUUCCUGGUCCAGCUCCGACGUUCAGGCACGAAAGCGUGGGGAGCAAACAGG